RNAcentral lists this ribosomal RNA (508 nucleotides) under uncultured bacterium. RNAcentral's name for it is "bacterial SSU rRNA". It matches the Rfam family "Bacterial small subunit ribosomal RNA", at positions 107 to 608 of the family's 1533-position model. The record is from RNAcentral.
UGAGUAAUGUCUGGGAAACUGCCCGAUAGAGGGGGAUAACUACUGGAAACGGUAGCUAAUACCGCAUAACCUCGUAAGAGCAAAGUGGGGGACCUUCGGGCCUCACGCUAUCGGGUGUGCCCAGAUGGGAUUAGCUAGUAGGUGGGGUAAUGGCUCACCUAGGCGACGAUCCCUAGCUGGUCUGAGAGGAUGACCAGCCACACUGGAACUGAGACACGGUCCAGACUCCUACGGGAGGCAGCAGUGGGGAAUAUUGCACAAUGGGCGCAAGCCUGAUGCAGCCAUGCCGCGUGUAUGAAGAAGGCCUUCGGGUUGUAAAGUACUUUCAGCGGGGAGGAAGGCGAUGAGGUUAAUAACCUCGUCGAUUGACGUUACCCGCAGAAGAAGCACCGGCUAACUCCGUGCCAGCAGCCGCGGGUAAUACGGAGGGUGCAAGCGUUAAUCGGAAUUACUGGGGCGUAAAAGCGCACGCAAGCGGUCUGUCAAGUCAGAUGUGAAAUCCCCCGGG